RNAcentral lists this ribosomal RNA (762 nucleotides) under uncultured bacterium. RNAcentral describes it as "bacterial SSU rRNA". It matches the Rfam family "Bacterial small subunit ribosomal RNA", at positions 1 to 760 of the family's 1533-position model. The record is from RNAcentral.
UAGAGUUUGAUCAUGGCUCAGAUUGAACGCUGGCGGCAGGCUUAACACAUGCAAGUCGAGCGGAAACGAGAAUAGCUUGCUAUUCGGCGUCGAGCGGCGGACGGGUGAGUAAUGCUUGGGAAUAUGCCUUUUGGUGGGGGACAACAGUUGGAAACGACUGCUAAUACCGCAUAAUGUUUACGGACCAAAGCGGGGGACCUUCGGGCCUCGUGCCAAAAGAUUAGCCCAAGUGAGAUUAGCUAGUUGGUGGGGUAAAGGCCUACCAAGGCGACGAUCUCUAGCUGGUUUGAGAGGAUGAUCAGCCACACUGGGACUGAGACACGGCCCAGACUCCUACGGGAGGCAGCAGUGGGGAAUAUUGCACAAUGGGGGAAACCCUGAUGCAGCCAUGCCGCGUGUGUGAAGAAGGCCUUCGGGUUGUAAAGCACUUUCAGUCGUGAGGAAAGGGUGUUGAUUAAUACUCAACAUCUGUGACGUUAGCGACAGAAGAAGCACCGGCUAACUCCGUGCCAGCAGCCGCGGUAAUACGGAGGGUGCGAGCGUUAAUCGGAAUUACUGGGCGUAAAGCGUGCGUAGGCGGUUUGAUAAGCCAGAUGUGAAAUCCCGGGGCUUAACCUCGGAACUGCAUUUGGAACUGUUUGACUAGAGUACUGUAGAGGGUGGUGGAAUUUCCAGUGUAGCGGUGAAAUGCGUAGAGAUUGGAAGGAACAUCAGUGGCGAAGGCGGCCACCUGGACAGAUACUGACGCUGAGGCACGAAAGC